UACGUAGGGUGCAAGCGUUGUCCGGAAUUAUUGGGCGUAAAGAGCUCGUAGGCGGUCUGUCGCGUCUGCUGUGAAAACUCGGGGCUUAACCCCGGGCCUGCAGUGGGUACGGGCAGACUAGAGUGCGGUAGGGGAGAGCUGGAAUUCCUGGUGUAGCGGUGAAAUGCGCAGAUAUCAGGAGGAACACCGGUGGCGAAGGCGGGUCUCUGGGCCGUAACUGACGCUGAGGAGCGAAAGCGUGGGGAGCGAACAGG
RNAcentral lists this ribosomal RNA (254 nucleotides) under uncultured bacterium. RNAcentral describes it as "partial 16S ribosomal RNA". It matches the Rfam family "Bacterial small subunit ribosomal RNA", at positions 524 to 776 of the family's 1533-position model. The record is from RNAcentral.